RNAcentral lists this ribosomal RNA (253 nucleotides) under uncultured bacterium. RNAcentral's name for it is "partial 16S ribosomal RNA". It matches the Rfam family "Bacterial small subunit ribosomal RNA", at positions 524 to 776 of the family's 1533-position model. The record is from RNAcentral.
GACAGAGGGUGCAAACGUUGUUCGGAAUUACUGGGCGUAAAGCGCACGUAGGCGGCUAUUCAAGUCGGGGGUGAAAGCCCGGGGCUCAACCCCGGAACUGCCCUCGAAACUAGGCAGCUAGAAUCUUGGAGAGGCGAGUGGAAUUCCGAGUGUAGAGGUGAAAUUCGUAGAUAUUCGGAAGAACACCAGUGGCGAAGGCGACUCGCUGGACAAGUAUUGACGCUGAGGUGCGAAAGCGUGGGGAGCAAACAGG